RNAcentral lists this transfer RNA (77 nucleotides) under Candidatus Saccharimonadota bacterium. RNAcentral's name for it is "tRNA-Val". It matches the Rfam family "tRNA". Rfam says of the family: Transfer RNA (tRNA) molecules are approximately 80 nucleotides in length. Their secondary structure includes four short double-helical elements and three loops (D, anti-codon, and T loops). Lineage: Bacteria; Candidatus Saccharimonadota. RNAcentral also lists the same sequence under 2 other names. The record is from RNAcentral.
GGGCGCUUAGCUCAGUUGGCUAGAGCACUUCGUUUACACCGAAGGGGUCGGGGGUUCGAGCCCCUCAGCGCCCACCA